Molecule: transfer RNA, 72 nt
Filed under: Camelus bactrianus (Bactrian camel)
Lineage: Eukaryota; Metazoa; Chordata; Mammalia; Artiodactyla; Camelidae
Also listed under: 2 other names
Rfam family: tRNA
About the family: Transfer RNA (tRNA) molecules are approximately 80 nucleotides in length.
Source: Rfam by way of RNAcentral
GAAGGUAUAACUCACUGGUAGAGUGCAUGCUUAGCAUGCAUAAGAUUCUGGGUUCAAUCCCCAAUAACUCCA